This 495-nucleotide ribosomal RNA is filed under the name uncultured bacterium. RNAcentral's name for it is "partial 16S ribosomal RNA". It matches the Rfam family "Bacterial small subunit ribosomal RNA", at positions 28 to 507 of the family's 1533-position model. The record is from RNAcentral.
GAUGAACGCUGGCGGCGUGCCUAAUACAUGCAAGUAGAACGCUGAAGGAGGAGCUUGCUCUUCUGGAUGUGUUGCGAACGGGUGAGUAACGCGUAGGUAACCUGCCUGGUAGCGGGGGAUAACUAUUGGAAACGAUAGCUAAUACCGCAUGACAACAGUUAUUGCAUGAUAACUGUUUAAAAGGGGCAACUGCUCCACUACCAGAUGGACCUGCGUUGUAUUAGCUAGUUGGUGAGGUAACGGCUCACCAAGGCGACGAUACAUAGCCGACCUGAGAGGGUGAUCGGCCACACUGGGACUGAGACACGGCCCAGACUCCUACGGGAGGCAGCAGUAGGGAAUCUUCGGCAAUGGACGGAAGUCUGACCGAGCAACGCCGCGUGAGUGAAGAAGGUUUUCGGAUCGUAAAGCUCUGUUGUAAGAGAAGAACGAGUGUGAGAGUGGAAAGUUCACACUGUGACGGUAUCUUACCAGAAAGGGACGGCUAACUACGUG